This 253-nucleotide ribosomal RNA is filed under the name uncultured prokaryote. RNAcentral's name for it is "partial 16S ribosomal RNA". It matches the Rfam family "Bacterial small subunit ribosomal RNA", at positions 524 to 776 of the family's 1533-position model. The record is from RNAcentral.
UACAGAGGGGGCAAGCGUUGUUCGGAAUUACUGGGCGUAAAGGGCGCGUAGGCGGCCUGCUAAGUCGAACGUGAAAUCCCUGGGCUCAACCCAGGAACUGCGUCCGAUACUGGUUGGCUUGAAUCCGGGAGAGGGAUGUGGAAUUCCAGGUGUAGCGGUGAAAUGCGUAGAUAUCAAGUGGAACACCAGUGGCGAAGGCGAGUCUCUGGACAUUUCCUGACGCUGAGGCACGAAAGCCAGGGGAGCAAACGGG